GACGAACGCUGGCGGCGUGCUUAACACAUGCCAGUCGAACGGAAAGGCCCUGCUUUUGUGGGGUGCUCGAGUGGCGAACGGGUGAGUAACACGUGAGUAACCUGCCCUUGACUUUGGGAUAACUUCAGGAAACUGGGGCUAAUACCGGAUAGGAUCUCCUGCUGCAUGGUGGGGGUUGGAAAGUUUCGGCGGUUGGGGAUGGACUCGCGGCUUAUCAGCUUGUUGGUGGGGUAGUGGCUUACCAAGGCUUUGACGGGUAGCCGGCCUGGGAGGGUGACCGGCCACAAUGGGACGGAGAUACGGCCCAGACUGCUACGGGAGGCAGCAGUGGGGAAUAUUGCACAAUGGGCGGAAGCGUGAUGCAGAAACGCAGCGUGCGGGAUGACGGCCUUCGGGUUGUAAACCGCUUUCGCAUGUGACGAAGCGUGAGUGACGGUAAUGGGUAAAGAAGCACCGGCUAACUACGUG
Molecule: ribosomal RNA, 468 nt
Filed under: uncultured bacterium
Lineage: Bacteria
Description: partial 16S ribosomal RNA
Rfam family: Bacterial small subunit ribosomal RNA
Source: RNAcentral